Long non-coding RNA from Oncorhynchus tshawytscha (Chinook salmon), 364 nucleotides. Lineage: Eukaryota; Metazoa; Chordata; Actinopteri; Salmoniformes; Salmonidae. The record is from Ensembl.
GUACAGAGUCAAUGUGGAGGCUAUAUACAGGGGGUACCAGUACAGAGUCAAUGUGGAGGCUAUAUACAGGGGGUACCGGUAGAGAGUCAAUGUGGAGGCUAUAUACAGGGGGUACCGGUAGAGAGUCAAUGUGGAGGCUAUAUACAGGGGGUACCGGUACAGAGUCAAUGUGGAGGCUAUAUACAGGGGGUACCGGUAGAGAGUCAAUGUGGAGGCUAUAUACAGGGGGUACCGGUAGAGAGUCAAUGUGGAGGCUACAUACAGGGGGUACCAGUACAGAGGGUACCAGCACAGAGUCAAUGUGGAGGCUAUAUACAGGGGGUACCAGUACAGAGUCAAUGUGGAGGCUAUAUACAGGGGGUAC